This 449-nucleotide ribosomal RNA is filed under the name Limosilactobacillus fermentum. RNAcentral describes it as "bacterial SSU rRNA". It matches the Rfam family "Bacterial small subunit ribosomal RNA", at positions 347 to 788 of the family's 1533-position model. The record is from RNAcentral. Lineage: Bacteria; Bacillati; Bacillota; Bacilli; Lactobacillales; Lactobacillaceae.
GGCAGCAGUAGGGAAUCUUCCACAAUGGGCGCAAGCCUGAUGGAGCAACACCGCGUGAGUGAAGAAGGGUUUCGGCUCGUAAAGCUCUGUUGUUAAAGAAGAACACGUAUGAGAGUAACUGUUCAUACGUUGACGGUAUUUAACCAGAAAGUCACGGCUAACUACGUGCCAGCAGCCGCGGUAAUACGUAGGUGGCAAGCGUUAUCCGGAUUUAUUGGGCGUAAAGAGAGUGCAGGCGGUUUUCUAAGUCUGAUGUGAAAGCCUUCGGCUUAACCGGAGAAGUGCAUCGGAAACUGGAUAACUUGAGUGCAGAAGAGGGUAGUGGAACUCCAUGUGUAGCGGUGGAAUGCGUAGAUAUAUGGAAGAACACCAGUGGCGAAGGCGGCUACCUGGUCUGCAACUGACGCUGAGACUCGAAAGCAUGGGUAGCGAACAGGAUUAGAUACCCU